This 243-nucleotide unclassified non-coding RNA is filed under the name Hevea brasiliensis (rubber tree). Lineage: Eukaryota; Viridiplantae; Streptophyta; Magnoliopsida; Malpighiales; Euphorbiaceae. The record is from RNAcentral.
UAUGAAGCAUUGUUUCAAACAUCAUGGAUGAGUCAGAAGCGUAAUGGGAAAGAAUUCCCCUUUUGUUAAGUUGAUGUUAGAGACAAGGUUCCAUGAUUUUUAAUGAAUACCAAGUCAUAAUGGACAAGUUAAAGGAUAUUAUUGAAAAUUUUCAUCAUACGAAUUGAUCCAGUUUGUUCUAUAUCAUGCAUUUGCAAUUGACAUGUUUAUAUAUUAAGCAGAUUAUCAGAGAAAGAUAGAUGA